RNAcentral lists this ribosomal RNA (497 nucleotides) under uncultured bacterium. RNAcentral's name for it is "partial 16S ribosomal RNA". It matches the Rfam family "Bacterial small subunit ribosomal RNA", at positions 28 to 507 of the family's 1533-position model. The record is from RNAcentral.
GAUGAACGCUGGCGGCGUGCCUAAUACAUGCAAGUCGAGCGAACGGACGAGAAGCUUGCUUCUCUGAUGUUAGCGGCGGACGGGUGAGUAACACGUGGAUAACCUACCUAUAAGACUGGGAUAACUUCGGGACACCGUAGCUAAUACCGGAUAAUAUUUUGAACCGCAUGGUUCAAAAGUGAAAGACGGUCUUGCUGUCACUUAUCGAUGGUUCCGCGCUGCAUUAGCUAGUUGGUAAGGUAACGGCUUACCAAGGCAACGAGGCAUAACCGACCUGAGGGAGGGAUCGGCCACACGGGAACUGAGACACGGUCCAGACUCCUACGGGAGGCAGCAGAAGGGAAUCUUACGCAAUGGGCGAAAGCCUGACGGAGCAACGCCGCGUGAGUGAUGAAGGUCUUCGGAUCGUAAAACUCUGUUAUUAGGGAAGAACAUAUGUGUAAGUAACUGUGCACAUAUUGACGGUACCUAAUCAGAAAGCCACGGCUAACUACGUG